RNAcentral lists this long non-coding RNA (964 nucleotides) under Zostera marina. RNAcentral's name for it is "long non-coding RNA (ZMAR_LNC005563)". The record is from RNAcentral. Lineage: Eukaryota; Viridiplantae; Streptophyta; Magnoliopsida; Alismatales; Zosteraceae.
GAUAGGAUACAUUCAUAAUUCCAUACGCAUAGACAAAAUUAUAUAUAUGCAUAAAGUUGAAAGCUAUAAAAUUAUAAAAUAGAACGCGCCCGUCCCCAUGUGAUGCAAAAGUCAGAUUAAAUGUCAAAAAAUAAAUCAUAUAAGAAUCUAUGAUUUAUGCAUUGAACGUGUUCUUUCAAUCUUUAUAAAAGAAUGCUUUGUAAUUCACUCGAAAACAAAAGGAAGGGCCUCCGAGUCUGUGUCUACAUGUGUGUUUGAUGCGUGACAGGACAUCUACCCUUCUUCAAGGCAUCUAUCUUUCUAUCUCACUUUUUUAAAUUGGAUUUUUCUAAAAUGAAAACAUUGUCAUAAUUCCUAAAAAUACUAAUUUUAUUCAUUGUUAAAGGAGAUAACUACUGAUUACAAAUUUUGAAUAGAAUUUUACAAGGAAUGUUGGAAUCCAUACCUUUAUUAUAGAUUUACUUACAGGGUGAAGUAAUCGAUCAACAAACAUGUGAUGAUGAUGUCGCUCAAAUCCGCUGGAUUAAUGGCUUUCAUCACCUGAUGAUCGAUAGCUCACAUGUCCACUAUAUGUCAGUGUCGUUGAUUUAAAGCAAGCGAAGAAUUUCAUUCUGCAUGGACGUUUUUUAUGGGCUUUCGAAAACAGCUCAAGCAAAACAUCUCGAGCAUACCUUGCUAAUUACAGACUUCAGAACGUCACCUCUCUUUGACAAAGCUCGACCUGACGGUGGUGCUGAUUUGACCCCCAAUGUUUUCAUUGCUGAUCAUCUGUUGAAUCAGAAAGAAAGACCUGUGAAUUAAAUCAAUCUUCUUCUGCUGUGCCUGUAGAUCCUGUAUAUCGCAUCAUUAAAAUUUACUAUCCAAAUCUCCUCCAAUAAUUGUCGCCAUUGGCUAACGUCAGCUUUGUUACCCAACAAUUAAAUGACGUGUCAUUUCACAUUUUCACUUAGGAUUCAAGGAUUCA